ACACACACACACACGACUAAAAUUAAUUGUUGCAGCUGAAAAAACAGCCCAUCUUCAGUACGUCACAGUAUUAUUUAUAUUACCAUGUGAAUAUUGGCCGUUUAUUAAAUUCAUUUCAAUUCCUAAAUAAGUUUCAUUUGCCUACCGUAACAGUUUUAAUAGAUUAGGAAAAACUACAAUUCCCAUCAUGCAUCGGAAACGAGAACUGUCCAAUCAAAACAGGCAAUGUGUGACGUCACAAGUCUAUAUAAGUGCAACCCUGUGCCAUUCGCUCUCUUUCCUCUUCUCCCAAAUCUCCGUACGAGGCGUACAAAGAUUCGAGGACGAGACAUAUGUUAGGCUUAUGCGUCUGAACACCACAAAUCAAAGGGUGAAGAGUCUUCAGUGGCAUUGAGGUUGUCAGGCCUUUGACGCUGACGCUUCUAAGGU
Long non-coding RNA from Hippocampus comes (tiger tail seahorse), 429 nucleotides. RefSeq lists it as uncharacterized. The transcript has 4 exons. NCBI's taxonomy places the organism in Eukaryota, Metazoa, Chordata, Actinopteri, Syngnathiformes, Syngnathidae. The record is from RefSeq and is a predicted model, not a curated record.